AUCGGCAGGCGGACUCUCAACCACUGCGCCACCAGGCAAGCCCCCAAAUUAGGUUUUAAAGUAAAUAAUUAUUUAGAAUGAGAAAGAAUCAAAAUAAACGAAAAAGCUGACCAAGAUCCAACGUCCAGGAAAACAAUCCAGACUGGCUUCUGGGGCCAUACGACUCAAACCACAGUUCCCUUCCAUCAUCACAUUCCUCGGUACCCGGUGUUUGGUGACAACUCCAUAUCUGGUCCCCCCUCUGACCCUGCACCUUCGUGUCCUGACACCUGUGAGCUGAAGUGGUGGGAGUUCUCCUGGGAUCCCCAGUGGAGGGCUGGCGGUACCUUACCUCUAAAGUAACUGGAAACCACUUAGUUACAUGCACUAACACUUGGAGGAAAUGUAUCUCCAACUUGGCCUCCUCUCAGCUGGAUUGCCCGAGUUUCCACGUUUCCUUCAGUGCCACCCAACCUGAGGAAAAGUGUGAUGGGGGAAUUUGUAGUGGAAAACAAUAGUCUUAGCUGUUGCUUUUGCAAAUUUUAUAAACACAUGACAGGUCAAUGUGAACUGGGUGGGGGGGUGGGCUGAAGCUUAAGCUUCAUUGCCUCACCGUAAACCCAGCUGGAUCCAUCCUGAACACGUUCCUCUGCCAGAGGGAACCUGUUAUCCUUAGGUCACUGUCCGAGUCAGUGACCUACAGUGGCUCCCACUGACCUUUCUAAAAUGAAACUCAUUCCCCUUGAUUUUUAUUCUGGUUGUAAAAGUAGUAUUUGGUCAUUACUGAGAAAAUAUAAACAAGGGUAAAGGAGACAAUGAACGUCAUCCUGGAGCAAACCCUGCAGGCAAGCAGUAACAAUUUAGUUUCAGUCUUCCAUCCUCUGCUAGGGGUUUGACAGGACAUUGAGACAGGUUGGAAUGUCCAGACGCCCGCACGUGGGCUCGCAUUGUGCUCCCCCUUUCAGCCUGGCUGGUUAUGUAGCACGGGGAGUGACAGGGUCCGGAUCCUGGUCAGAGGCUAUGAGCAGAUGGGACCAUGGAUGUGGGGACAGGCCGGAGAAAGACCCCCUGACUGAAGAAGCAGCACAUUGGUGUUAAAGAAUGUGCUGAUUCACAUGAAGAAACCUGAGAGAAUGUCCUUUUUGCUCUGUCAGUUCUUCACAGGGAGGGAGGGACAAAUAUGCCCAUGGCCUGAUUCAUGAGGAAAUGUGAUUAUUUAAAAAAAAGUUUUAAGUGAGAGAACUGAAGCUGUCCUUUAAGUGGCAUUUUCAAACCUAAAUUAGAAACUACAUUAGCAUUGCCAUUUGAUGCUGAGGCACAAGAAGUUUGGCCUGUUCCUCCCCUGGGGCUCAGGCUCCCAGGUCAGAAGUUAGGGGGCCUCCAUCUGAGAAGGUUUCUUCUGGAGAGUCAUGCGUGGUCCCUGCACCUCAGUACUGCUGGGGAAGGGGCUUUUCCCACCACUCCCUAAGGAGGCUGCCUGCAGGCUGUCUCUGCUGGAUGGGAGAAGUGGGCUGGAUGACUGGGAAUCAUCUGGCCCUUCUUUGAGAAAGCCUUUAAAAUGACACUCCCCCAGAUACAGUGUUGAGUGGAUUUUCUCAACAUCUCAACUGCAACCAAAGAGGGAAAACAGGAAGAUGCAUGGGGGUGUUAAGGGCAUUCGAGAAAUGACAGUCCCCCAUCCAGCCCGGUGGGGUCCUGAGUUCACUGGCCCGGGCAAGUAAGGGAGUGUCCUGCACUGCCCCACAAGGGUUGCUGAGCCGUGGGGUAGUGUUCUCCAGGGACUGGGUCUGUGUCCCCUUAUGGUACCUGUUCUCCCCAAACCCCUUCACAAUCACCUGGGAGCUUUUAAAAUGCACGUUCUGUCUCAACCCUGAAGAUUUGCAUCUAGCAUUUGGAGCUGGGAGUGCACAUGCGUGUUUGUGUGUGUGUGUGUGAGAUAUGUCCUCAAGCACUGACCAAGGCGUCCUCCUGUGUGCCCUGACACCUGUGAUCCUUGCUUGCAGGCAGACGGCAGUCAGACUGCCCAACAUUAACUGCCUCAGGGAAGGGAUGACAGAUUUAACAAAGGAGUCAAAUUACUGGUUUUUGAGUACCAAAAGUCUAGGCCUUGGUAUAAAGUUUGGAACAAGACAUGAUGAGUGAGGGCAGGGCCGUGGCUGGCACAUAUGGCACCUGUGGGUGAAUUGUGAGAAGGUGCCUUUCUGCUUGCCAGGGCAAGGGCAGAUUUUAGCCUCUGGUUGUGCCCUACCCCAUAGCAGGCCACAUUUGUGCAGUGCACACACUGCUUAACCUUAUGUGGUAGCCCUUAGAAGAGAUCUCCCUGAUUUGGGGGCAGGGCCGGGAGGGAGGUGAGGAGAAGAGAGCUGGUGGGAAGACGAGGCGACCUUAGAUGCUGGUGGGUCCCUGAGAAGGGAGCACAGGGGCUCUCUGCCUUGGAACAGAGAACAGAAACGCAGAGGGUUUUGGGGAACAGGGUGCGGAGGGAGAUAAUAGAUAGCUUUCUUGGGUAGAGUCCUAGGGAGGCAGAAGCCCCAGAGUGUGGAUGGCUCCCCCAGCCCCACCGGGUGCGAGGCGGCAGAAUAACUCCUGCAAGCUCAGCUUAGCAUAUGUGGAAGUGCCAGGGGAGGGGGCACAGCUAGCUUCCUCCGGCUCUACAGCGGUUGGGAGACAGAGGAGGGCUUCUGUGCCAGUGCUCCAAGGAGGCCAUGACAGUGGCAGGACGUGCCUGAGGACGUCUUUGGGAUGGGAAUGAGGGUCUGUGUGGCAGGGGCUUGCAGGGCUGACCUUUCAGAAGCAGAGAGAACAGCGGUGGUGGACACCGGUGCAGGGAGGACCACCCACCUUCAGUCCGCAGAAUUUAGCUCAGGGCCAGGAAAGUAGGUGUGGGGACUCGGAACUUUGAUUUCUACCACUUCAGGGGCAGGAUCCUUGCAGAAAUCGACUCAUGGAAAAGUAGCGGGACAUUUCUUACCCACUUGAGGUUGUGGAUUAAGACUGAUAUAAUAUGCAAAGAAAACCAUAAGUAAAUACCUCCUAAUAAUGAUCUCUGCAUGGUAGGAUUAAGGGCAAUUUUCUUUUUCUCCUUUUUGAGUGCUGAGGUUUUUGAAAAUUUUUCCAGUGACCAUGUUUGCUUAUUUAAAUGAGAAUAAUAAUGUUUUAAAAACUGUAAUUUGCUUUUUUAUCUCUCUCCCCUCUCUGGGGUCCUCGUUCCUUAAGUGCCUCAUCCGUCACGCUUCCUUCAGCCCCUCUGAGCCUCCUCCCUGCCCCAACCUGGCAGGCACUGGCUGAAGGUGGGGCUGGAGCCCAGGAAGGUAGCGGCCCUAGUCAGGAGUCCUGGAGUCAUGAUGACACCGACAACACCGUCACCAAGGACACUUUCCUGUCCUCUCUGCACCCACUUGAGAGGACAGCCAGGGUGGAAGAGAUACUCUUAUCAUUUUUGGCGUUGGGGAGAUUGUCUCUCCUCCCCCCCAGGUAGGAGGGUGUAGGCUGGGCUCUGCUGAGCCAGAGGGUGAGUGGGCUGGGCCUUUCCACUGUCCAGACUCCCAAAUGACACCCUUUCCCAGAAUCUGCUGCUCGGGCCCCUCAGAGCCCUUGCUCGAGAAGGCCCAUGUGGGCCAGUCAGGCCAUUUGGAGAGAAAGGGAGAAGAUGCCAAGCCAGUGGGCCCCUUUAAGGCAUCCCUGCCUGGGAGGGGGGCCGGGAUGAAAAUAGAGCGGUGGCCGGAGCAGGGCUUAGUGAGCUGGAGGGAGAAACGUGCUGAUUAUUAAAGACCGAAUUACCUGGGUCUAAUUACAAACACACUUAAGCAGCACAUUUCUUCCUGAUACACAACAGAAGUGGCUCAGAUUCUAUCACAAAGAGUCGGAAAGGGUGAUAAAAAUAAAAAACGGAUCUCAGCCGUGUGUCUUUCCCCGCUCUCCCUCCCUCCCCCAAUUAGUUGUGGUGGGAAGAGAAGUGGACCUCCCCCCGCCCCCCAACCAACUUGCUCAGCCUGGUGGGAGCUUGGAGCGUUCUCCCUGCCAUUUCUGUUGGCAGAACCCGCCUGCAUGGGGAUGGAGGAGAUGGAGGGAUGAGGGGUCCCUCCCAGGACAUCCAGGAAGCUUGCUGUCCUCACUGGGGCAGGUUGUCUGCUCAGGGAUCUGCUCUCUGACUCCAGGUGAGCCCUAAGGUCGCAGGACAGAGGCAUCUCUCUGCCUGUGCCCCCGUGCAGGCAUGACAUUUCCUCACCUCCAAGAAACAGGACACCAAAUCCAAACAAGGCCAUCCCUGGAGAAUGUUAUUACCCAGCCCCUGUUAGUGUUUCCAGUCCCUUUACUGUGUUUUCACUUCAUAAUGAUGCUGUUUGAUAAUGGUUAUGCAACAUAGGAUAGAGUGGGGUUGAACUGCCCAUCCCUACUUUUUUUCUUAGUGCCUCCAAUUCUUUAUGCCCCAUCUUUUCUACAUGUCCAAAUGUUACACAUCCUUCCAAAACUUCACCUUGGUGAAGACAAGAGAGCUAGCAAGAGCGCUAGACCAUGAGUGCCCAUCAGUCAAGCAACUUGAUAACUAUACUGUUUGGCAACGGGGCUUCUGUAGCAAUGGUGUCCAAAUACAGUCGACCCUCAGGAGCAUCUUAAAAUAUAGAUUCCUAGGCUCACUCCCUGUCUGGCAAUCUACAGUAUCAGCAAGUGUCCCCAGGGAUUCUGAGGCAGGGAGUCCUAGGACUGCACUGAGAAAUGCCCUGAAAGACUUGUCCCUCCUGCCCCAGGCUGCCUCCCAGGACAGGGCUUCUACACAUGUUGUCCAGCCGAAGGGCACCCCUCCCAUUCAUCUGUGUUCAUGGGCACCCACCCUGCACCCAGUCCCGUUCACCAGGCUCAGGGGCCCCGGGGGUUGAACUUCCACUCAAUGGGACCGUUGCAUCGCAUAAGCUCUUUUCUAUGCAAAGAGGAUAACAAAUCCUGCCCUGCCCACCUGGCUGGGUUGUUGUUUGAAUUAAGUGAGAUAAGGGAUGUGAAAGUGCUCUGAGAGCUGUAAGGCUGGGAAUCGAAGGGAAGGUUAUCUGUGCCCGCUAGGCAACGAUUCACUGACUGUCUUGUGACGUCGCCUCUGUACUGUCCACCACGCUUAUUAAAAAUCUCACAAAUCUACUUAACCACUCCCAGCCGAGGGCUUGGCUUCGCUGACUGGCUGCAUUCAGCUUGUUCAGCAAAGCCUGCCUCCUUCCACAAGAUGGCCAGAGCGGUGUUGUUGGUUUCUGUUGGUGGACAGAAACAGGAUUUCUUCCCAGGUGGAGCAAAGCUGACCUGGGUAGAUGGGAGCCCACACUGUGGCUUCAUUAACACUUGCUGACUUGUGUUCUUGGGCUGUUGAUUGAGGCCCCAGGAGUAAGUCAUUCCCUUGGGGUGAAUGGGUAAGAUGCCUCUCCUCUGGUGGGGGGACCGUGCUUUGGUUCCUUUGUUUGAGUUAUCUACCGCUUGGGUGAGACGCCACCUCCAAACUUAGUCUUAAAACAACACUCUAUUGUUUCCCGUGAUUCCGUGGUUGACAGGCUUCAGCUGGGCGGUUCUGCUCCCCGCGGCUGACCCGCUGCCGAGCCUACUCUCAGUUGGGAGCUUGGCUCCACUGGAAAGGACCAGAGGCUUCUCACCCUCCCAGGUUUCUCUCCACGGCGUCUGCACAGUGAGUUGUGCAGCCGAGCUUCUCCACGACGUAGCAGCCGCCUACCACGAGGACGAGCCCCUGCUUACGGAGCCGCUGCUGGUGCUCAGCCGGACCCCCCGAGUCACAGGACCAAGCCUAGCGUCCACGUGGGAGGGGAAGAAGCAAAGGCAGGCGGCCGCAGAGGCAUGCGUCCUGGGGGCCCCUGAUGUGCUAAUUCCCCACAAACUCACUUUCUUUCUUGGGAAGUCACCCCCGUACAUCAUAGAAGAGUGCAGCAGCCAGGCUUGUGUUUACCUGCUCUCUUUCCACUGGCGCCAGUGUUGCUGGGCUUGGAGGCCUGGGGUGUGACUUGGGGAAGUUCCAGAGACCCCCGCUCCUAUGCUCUGUGCCAACGGUGGCUUCUGUCCCUGGGCGACCACAGCCUGUACAGAGGAGACUCAGAGGCCUGACAGGUAAGCAGUUUCUCUGUUACUUUCUGCAGUAGCACAGCUGCACACGCAUGCUGCCUCUUGCAUGUCAGUUCUGGUCUUCUCUUUCGGGGGUGGCCUCCGCAGAGGCCUGUGGGAGCCCCUGCACAGGCUCCAUGAAGAUGGUGCCACAGACCUUGUCACUCUUCAUGUUUGCUUGGGUUGCCUCAGGUCUCUGCCGCCAGGGGACCCGUGUGACAGUGUGUGGGGGGCCCUGCCUCCUCUGGCUGGAGAGUGCUGGGAGCCAGAUCUCAUUCUCACCUCCAAACCCCUCUCCUCACGUCUCUGACCAAGUGGUGGGCGCCGGGGGUGACGAGCGGGGUCUUGGUGUGGCCUCGGGUCUCUUCAGAGCUGCGGGCACCUGGCCCAGGACCCUGUGGGUAGAUGUGCACCUGGGCUGUGGGAGUGACAGUUCCUUUGGUUUCCUCACACAUCUGGGCUUUUGUCUCAAACCUUCGGCUCCGUUUUCUGGAAGAGGUCCCUUCUGUUUCACCUCAGGCUGAAUCUUUCAUGUAAUAUGUAUGUAUGCAGGGAGAGGACAGACUGGAGGGUCUUUAAGAAUCAGCAAAAUGGUAUUUCUACCCUUUGGGAGAAAAAUUGAGGAUGUGUCCAGAGUGACUAGAAUACUGAUCUGUACCAGCCUCUCGCUGCAGCCUCAGCACAAUGGGAAUCACUCACCUCUGAGUCGCUGCCAUUCACCUGGAGGCUCGGAAGUCCCAGGGCGCGGGAACACAUCCGUGUGUCUUUGGAGAGGGACAUCAUGAGACACUCUGGCCCCCCAGCCCCAUGGCCUUUGCUGAGGCUCAGAAUACACAUUCUGUUCAUGCUUCUUGUGACAGACAGUGAUGAUGCUGUGAGCAUCUUUACGUGAAGACGUGUCUGAAAAAGCAGCUAUGCUCUCAGAACAUUCACCUUCAUCCGGGCUCCACAGGCCUUGGGGGCUUCUAAUUUAGUUUUGCAGGCUGGGGAGCCACCAGAGGCUGUGGUUUGCGGGGAUGUUUGUCUUGUGAUUGAUUGGAGCUGAGAGUGAAACCCUGGGGCUCUGUUCUGUUGUACCCUUGAAGGGAUCAGGAGUUGCUUCCUCCCUCGAGGAGACUGACCCAGCUCCGGUCUGGGGUGGUCACUGCUCCCCCAGCACCACCAGUCUGAAAACCCUAUGAGUCACUGGUACAGCUGCUGGGAUUCAUGCUACUCUCAACGAUCUAAGCUCACCGAUAGCAGCACAAGUCCCCCAAAUCCAGUAUUGAGUUGUAUCGUUACUUAUGUAACCUGAAUAGUCCACUUCACCAGCCUGCACCUGCAAGUAAGGCUACAUUUCCUCCUUAGAGCAGGAACCUCGUCAGCCAGAAAUUGGUUAUCCUCAAACUCUUUGCUGGUUGUUUUGGGGGUUUCUGAGUGGUUAGCCCCCCAAACAAGGGUGAUAACUGUAGUCACUAUGCCCGCUGCCUCGUCCCGCUUUCUGCUUUGGCCCCCCUUGGUCUCCCCACUACUAACUGCCAGCAAAGCUGUUGAGAGGUGCCUCACUGGGGCCACUGUCCAUCACAGAAGUGCCCAGGGUGCCAGUUCUGGAUCCUCUCCCGGUCCUGAGCUGCACCCAUCACCUGGGCCCCAGAGCAGCCAGUAUGUCCAGCGUCUUGUGGAUUCACUCUUGAACAGUUUAACCAGACUGAUACCAUCACCCACCGUGUCUUCUUUAGAGUCUCAAGAAGAAUAACCCUGACAGUUUCUGGCCCUUGCUCCUCUAACUACAGAAAUGCAAAACAGCCCCAGGGGGAGGAUGGGGCAAAUAAGUCCUGGAGUCAUUUGUGUUCAUCAGGAUUCUGAGGAUGUAAAUGACAUCCAGAAACCCAGUGGAAACUAGCAUCAACAAACAUGAGACUUUAUCUGGCAGCAAAGCUGAGAAGGCUUCUGGAACAGUUCCUCAGAUGUAGGAAGAGCUUCAGGAAGAAGGGUAUCAGGGGUGAGAAUGUGGCACAGCUCCCCUCUCCACCUUUCCUCUCUUCCCUCUCCCUCUUUUUUUCUCCUCUCCCCACUCCCCUCCAACCUUUACUUCUUCCCUCUCCUUAAUUUCUCAUCUGUGACCUCAUUUGCAGACAGCCUGUCUGUGUGGCAGGGAGGGGUCUACUGGUGUCCCAGAUUCACAUUCCCCUGUGCAGCAACCCUACUGGAAAAAAAGAUCUCUCUUUCUCAGUGUGUGCAUAGAUAUCUCAGGGCAGGCAUGUGAUCACCCGGCUUGGGGCUGUGUUGGUUUCAGGGGCAUGGGGUACUCUGGUAGGUUGUGUUGCGGUUGGGGUGAGAUCUGUUUCCAGCCAAAGAGGGGUCACAGCCACUACAAAGCCUGCACGCUCGUGCCCUCCCCCACUCCACUCCUGCCUGCCCUGCCUUCAUCUGCUUUAUCCACGAGCACACAGGGCCCUGGAGGUGGUUGGGUGGAAGCGGCACAGUUAGCAGUGCUAUCUACCCUGUGAGUGUUGAGUCUGCACUCAGACACCUGAACGAGUCCUGGCGUGCUUUUAUUUGCAUAUACGAGGCCUUCUCUGGCCUUCUGCUUCCCCAGCGCACUGCUGGGACGGCAGGCCGCUGGCCUGGGAGCGUGUGGGGUCAGUGCCACGGGACCCACGGCCUCGUCUGUCAGUGGGCACAGCUGAUGGGCUCGUUGGGCCCAGUUAUUCCUGAUGCAGACACUCUGAGGACGUGGAAUCCGUACUUUUUAAUCGUACUGUAAUGAGAGUGCCCUCCACGCCUGUCCCGCUUGCUCCGGGGAGCCCCAUCCUUCCCCCUCCUGCUCCUGCCUCCCUGGAUGCCUACGGAGGGCGGCUGGGUGAGGACCUGGUCUUCCAGCUGUGGUCCCAACUCUAUGGCCCUGAGCACUGUUCCUCCACAGGCAGGGCCAGGCUGCCUUGGCCUCUCAGCUCUCAGGCCCUCCCCUCCAUCCCUCUCCUGCCCCCUCUGAGGGAAGCAGGGCUGGGUAGGGGAGAGCCCUAGCUCCUCAAACACCGCUUCUCUCAAACGUUUUGAUUCUUUCCUCAAUCCUCUCUCUUCUUUAAAGACUCAGGCCUUUGGGAACCUAAGAUCUAGACACCUUUCUUUUUUCCCUGCGUCUCUGUCAUUUUUUCCCUGAGGUAAAGGGCCUGGGACAUCCCUGUGGCUUGACCGGUGGGAAAGCAGAGGGAGAAACCCGGCUCCUUUACCUAGGAAGAGCCAGCCAGGCGGCCUCUGCUUCGAGGCUGGGGAACCUCGGAAGCUUGCUGUGUCUGCAGAGAGGGCGGAAGGGGGUUUGCUGCCUGGUUAACCAGCCUGGGUUGAUUGAGGUCCGCGUGCUUCUCCUGGAGUCCCUUCUCGCUAGUAGAUCACCCUUCAAGGGGUAAGAGGAAGGGAUGGGAUAAACAUAGAAUGGGGCGUGGCCUGCCUGCCACAGCGGGAUCAAAACUCCUAAUUCCUGUCAGCCCCCCAGAGCCUCAGGCUCUACCCUUUACAGAAGCAUUAAUGAGUGCUUUCAGGAGCGACAGGCCGUGAGGCUGCUUAUUUUUAACCAGACAACGGAGGCUGAGCUCCUGAGUGGGACAAGGUGUCUCAGUCUCCCUGAGGCAAGCAGACCUGGAGGUGUCUGUCCCGGGCUUCCCAGGCCUGCAGCCGCUGGGAGGAACAUUUGCAGAGUCGCACCCAGGUUAGGGAAUCUCCUUCGGCCUGGGCUGCUUUGACCAGUGUUUUGUCUCCUGGGCCUCCUUGGGACGGAGGGAGGUGCUCUGUGAUGGGCAGAGGAGGCCGGCUGUGCUUUCUCAAGUGUGUGAGCUCUCCUGCUUCAGAAAUAGCUCUGGGUACUAAUUGGGGGUUUUUGCCCAGGAAGUGUUACUAGGAUCUGUCAGGUCCUACUAGGAACCAUCGGAAGGUGACAAGUCGCUGGAGACCUUGACACUUAACCACUGGUUACCCAGAAACCUGGACAGGGCCGCCUCUCCGGAGCCCCACAGCACUGGGAGACAGGUUACAAGCAUACACUAAAGUUACAGACUAAAUAAUGACUGUUGUGUAGAGGGCUGCGAGGGGACAGAUCGGGUGCUUUGGGAAGUGUGAGUCUGGGGGGGGCCUGGGCCCUUUCUCCUCCCCCUCUCUGUACUUGUGCCUUUCCCAGACUCCGUUCCUCUGUCUCCUGCUUCGUCUCUCCAAGAACUGCUUCUCCUGCCUGGCUAAUUCCACAGGAGCCAAGGAAAUGGGGGAAAGUAAGGGAGGUUGUCAGUGCCUGGAAAACCACUAAGCCCCUGCCUCCGGCUCCAGGCUGCCAGCUCUGCCAGCCCUCGGUCCCAAGGCCUCUCCAGCAGCUUUCCAUGAAAGAGACGUCCCUCCCCGCCUCCACCACCCUCUGGCAGCCAUGAAUCCGUUCCUGGACUACCGUCACCCCCCCUAGAUGUGGCAGCCAGGGCCUAACGGGCGCUGCUAGUUUUCGUUCCCAGUUUUCAGUUACUUAGUGGGACUUGUUUUCCUUUAUCUCCUUAAGGGGCAAAUUGGAGACUUGGGUUUGAUAGGAAAAGAUCACCCCAGGACUUGAAAAAUAGGGUUGCCAGCUGCCUCUGGUAGAAAAGGCAGAUAGGGAAAUUGAAUAAUGCAUCUUAGAAAUGUUUAUUAGCAUUCUGAUGAUGAUAAGUGAGGGAUCGGAAAGGAAAUCUUCCACAAGUGUUGGCCAUUUGUCCCCUGGUCAGGGAGGCUGGUGUGCUUUGUGGGAAGAGUAGUUGAUGUAUCCCCCACUGGACACAUAUGUGUCUCAUCCCCGAUACUUAGCAAGGGACCCGGGAGAUUCUGCUGAAGGGAUUCAGUCAUCAUCUGCAGGCUUUUGGGGGUGGUGGUGGUGGAGCCUGGAUGAGCCUUUGAGAAAAGCUGCAGGUAUUCUCUCCAUAACAACGCACCCUCACAAAGACAAGCUCACAAUUUGAUGGGCACUUCAGGAUUCGCAGGUUCUUUGAAAUCCAUCCAUGGACCCUCACAUAGACCCCAGGUGAAAAACUCCUGGACCAGAGCUUACAUCUGUAAGGCCCCCUGCACAUACAUGUGCCCCCGAUCCCUGUCGGACGCCUCUGCUACCUUCUUGCUGAGCACUGGGUACUGGUGCCAGGAAGGCCUGGGUUGGAGUCCCAUUUCAGGGCAACUUCUCCAGUCACCCAUCUUGGCUGCCAAGGCCCAACAAAUGUGGGCUUUUCUCCCCCUAGAAAUGGGGAAGAUUUGGCAACACUGGGCCUGCAUUCCUUAUGGCAACAAUUAGCUGGGCUUGGUGUCUGUGCCUGCUUUAGGUAGGGCAUGGCUGUCUGGGUUGUCAUGGCCUCUUCCCGCCACCUCAAUGCUGGGACCAAUUCAGUUCUGUUUAUCACCCCAGUUGAUCUGCACUUUUCUUAGAGCAGAGUUAAGCAAACAGUUUUAUCUCUGAAGAUAUACUGCAUAUCACAAAACACAAGUCUCCUCAUACGUAUGCAUAUAGAAAACACUCAUAUAUGCACAUGUACACGCACAUACCUGUUUGGCCCACCCAGGUUGUCUGCAAGGCAUCUGAAUUUGUGACCUGAUCCUCUUCCUCCUCAUAGGGUUGCUGUGAGGGUUCAGUGGACUGAUGCAUGCAGAGCCCUCAGCACAGUGCCUGGUACACAGCAGGUGCUCACUCAGCACAUCCAGCUGGUGUUACUAAGCAGCAGAUGCCCAAGGCCACCUCCAGAGAGGACGCAGGACAACAGGAGGGCAGCGCAUCCACAGAGGCUUCCCAGGCUAUUAUGAGGUGGUCUUUGUUUAAGUUCUUUCCAAACUUCUCGCUGAGCUGUUGGAUGAGGUCUGCCAGCUCGCCGGUAGCUUGAGAUUUCUCUUCAAGAAGCUCAUAGCGCAGGCUGGAGAUAUCUUGCUUGAUUUCCUUCAGUUCGCCUGCAAGGACAGAUGAGAUUUUGGUGAGAUGAGCCUGCUGAAGGAGCUCAGCCCAUAGGCAUUUGGGGCGUGCAUCCUUCCCACAGAAUGUCAGGCUACUGGUCCAGCCCACCAAGGGUGGAGGGAGGAGAAGCUCCCAAGCGUCUGAGGGGAUCAGCUCAGCACAGUGGCUGCGGCUGUGGAGCCAGGCCUCCUCACAGGGGCAGAGUCUGUCCGCACCACGCAAGCAGCAUCCCUCACCGGUGCACCACGCUUAAUACAUUGCCUGAUGUUCAACCUUCAGUCAUUCAGCAAACCUCCUAAUGUGUGCCCACCUAGCGCUCACCUACUGUGUGCCUGGCCUGUGCGAGAUCAAGAGAUGGGACUUCCCUGGUGGCACAGUGGUCAAGAAUCCAC
Molecule: long non-coding RNA, 12384 nt
Organism: Aethalodelphis obliquidens (Pacific white-sided dolphin)
Lineage: Eukaryota; Metazoa; Chordata; Mammalia; Artiodactyla; Delphinidae
Exons: 6
Source: RefSeq, a predicted model, not a curated record